GAAAUGCGAUACGUAGUGUGAAUUGCAGAAUUCAGUGAAUCAUCGAAUCUUUGAACGCACAUUGCGCCCUUUGGUAUUCCAAAGGGCAUGCCUGUUCGAGCGUCACUUGUACCCUCAAGCUUUGCUUGGUGUUGGGCGUUUUUUGUCUUUGGCUCGCCCAAAGACUCGCCUUAAAACGAUUGGCAGCCGGCCUACUGGUUUCGCAGCGCAGCACAUUUUUGCGCUUGCAAUCAGCAAAAGAGGACGGCAAUCCAUCAAGACUCCUUCUCACGUUUGACCUCGGAUCAGGUAGGGAUACCCGCUGAACUUAAGC
This 313-nucleotide unclassified non-coding RNA is filed under the name plant metagenome. Its description in RNAcentral is "partial contains 5.8S ribosomal RNA, internal transcribed spacer 2, and large subunit ribosomal RNA". The stretch from base 1 to 105 matches the Rfam family "5.8S ribosomal RNA", at positions 50 to 154 of the family's 154-position model. The record is from RNAcentral.